RNAcentral lists this ribosomal RNA (492 nucleotides) under uncultured bacterium. Its description in RNAcentral is "partial 16S ribosomal RNA". It matches the Rfam family "Bacterial small subunit ribosomal RNA", at positions 29 to 507 of the family's 1533-position model. The record is from RNAcentral.
AGUGAACGCUGGCGGUAGGCCUAACACAUGCAAGUCGAACGGCAGCACAGUAAGAGCUUGCUCUUAUGGGUGGCGAGUGGCGGACGGGUGAGGAAUACAUCGCAAUCUACUUUUUCGUGGGGGAUAACGUAGGGAAACUUACGCUAAUACCGCAUACGACCUACGGGUGAAAGCAGGGGAUCUUCGGACCUUGCGCGAUUGAAUGAGCCGAUGUCGGAUUAGCUAGUUGGCGGGGUAAAGGCCCACCAAGGCGACGAUCCGUAGCUGGUCUGAGAGGAUGAUCAGCCACACUGGAACUGAGACACGGUCCAGACUCCUACGGGAGGCAGCAGUGGGGAAUAUUGGACAAUGGGCGCAAGCCUGAUCCAGCCAUACCGCGUGGGUGAAGAAGGCCUUCGGGUUGUAAAGCCCUUUUGUUGGGAAAGAAAAGCAGCAGGUUAAUACCCCGCUGUUCUGACGGUACCCAAAGAAUAAGUACCGGCUAACUUCGUG